GAUGAACGCUGGCCGCGUGCCUAAUACAUGCAAGUCGAGCGAACGGACGAGAAGCUUGCUUCUCUGAUGUUAGCGGCGGACGGGUGAGUAACACGUGGAUAACCUACCUAUAAGACUGGGAUAACUUCGGGAAACCGGAGCUAAUACCGGAUAAUAUUUUGAACCGCAUGGUUCAAAAGUGAAAGACGGUCUUGCUGUCACUUAUAGAUGGAUCCGCGCUGCAUUAGCUAGUUGGUAAGGUAACGGCUUACCAAGGCAACGAUGCAUAGCCGACCUGAGAGGGUGAUCGGCCACACUGGAACUGAGACACGGUCCAGACUCCUACGGGAGGCAGCAGUAGGGAAUCUUCCGCAAUGGGCGAAAGCCUGACGGAGCAACGCCGCGUGAGUGAUGAAGGUCUUCGGAUCGUAAAACUCUGUUAUUAGGGAAGAACAUAUGUGUAAGUAACUGUGCACAUCUUGACGGUACCUAAUCAGAAAGCCACGGCUAACUACGU
Molecule: ribosomal RNA, 496 nt
Filed under: uncultured bacterium
Lineage: Bacteria
Description: partial 16S ribosomal RNA
Rfam family: Bacterial small subunit ribosomal RNA
Source: RNAcentral